Molecule: ribosomal RNA, 315 nt
Filed under: Autogneta longolamellata
Lineage: Eukaryota; Metazoa; Arthropoda; Arachnida; Sarcoptiformes; Autognetidae
Description: eukaryotic LSU rRNA
Rfam family: Eukaryotic large subunit ribosomal RNA
Source: RNAcentral
CCAAGGAGUCUAACAUGUGCGCGAGUCACUCGGUCUUGAAUAGGCCAGAGAGGCGCAAUGAAAGUAAAGUUGAUUGAGUUACGAUCCUCAUGCAGUUAUCGCUUGUCGGUAACGGUGGGGCGCAGUAACAGCCCGCUAAUUUCGCUUAUUGACGAUCUGGCGGAGUUGUAGCGUACACGUUGGUACCCGAAAGAUGGUGAACUAUGCCUGGGCAAGACGAAGCCAGAGGAAACUCUGGUGGAGGUCUGUAGCGGUUCUGACGUGCAAAUCGAUCGUCAGACCUGGGUAUAGGGGCGAAAGACUAAUCGAACCAUC